Long non-coding RNA from Lineus longissimus, 2171 nucleotides. RefSeq lists it as uncharacterized. The transcript is spliced from 5 exons. Lineage: Eukaryota; Metazoa; Nemertea; Pilidiophora; Heteronemertea; Lineidae. The record is from RefSeq and is a predicted model, not a curated record.
UUGGGAGGAAUAAAACGAAAGACGGACACGGUGUUUCGGCAAAGUUUUGCCGCUGGGACCUCAGAUGAGUAUGUGCAGGAGAAUUUAGGACAGCGUACCAAAAAUUGCCUUCGACCUUAUACGAUGGAUGAUAAUGACGUCAAAGGGGCAUGACGGCGGUUAAACCUAUUGCGAAUGGGCAGCAUUUUCCGUCCCAGGAUUUACAUCAGGCAUGUGUCGGGGAUCAGGCAGAAUUGGGUGUAGGAUAUUCUGAAACCACGCACAUAUUUUUCUUUCCGGCCAUGUUGCCAGUGCCACAAAGGACAGAAUUGAAGUUGGUUCCAGCUUAAAUAUGAACUAGAAUUAUCAGAGGCUGUCCAAGAGAGCCCCCGCACCCUACAGUAAAAGGAUGAUGCAGCUUGGAUGACCUGGAAAAAAUUUCCACUGACCAGGUGCCAACAUAAACAUGAUAGAGGGCACUGAUAAUUAGAUGCCCAAUUUGCCUCCUUGGCAGGUCCAAGCAUGUUUGUUGUUUCGUGAGAAAUUCACCAUGCUGUAAAGCAUGCAUUUUGAAAUAAUUCUUUUUGCCUGUGAUCUGCGCCUGUGCGAGACAAUGAUGCAGAUCAUAGAACUCUGUGAGACGGUGACUGCUGGUUAGGAAGAAGACUCGUCCAUGCAUGUUUAAUAAAAUUCAGAAGAAAUAUGGCUGCAGUCAAGACGUCCUUGAGUGAAAAGCUUGAGGUGUUACAAAUUCAGGCAUUCUAAUAGUUUGAGUUAUUUAUAAGCCUGCAAUGUUUCAAGGAAGAUGAGAUGGAGAGAUACAACAUACAUGGAGAAACACGUUUCCGUUACAUAAAUGUCUGUGUGUGUAUCCUGAAGAGGGAUUCAGUUGACUUUGGAAGGAGCACACUUUUCGGCUCCUUCAUCUGAUGGCACAGUUUUGAAAAGAGAAAAGCGACCGCACCAUUGUCCUCCUGUAAUCAAGCCAAGGUCCGUCCACAUGCACCUCAAUGGGAAAACCACUGGUAAUUGAAGCUGGUUGAGCGCCAUGACAUCUCUCGUAAACAAGCAACGUUAUGGACAAGGAUCACGUGGACCAAGUUCAAAUGUCUUGAACACGAUAGGCCCCCUUCCAUGCUGACUGGAAAAGACAUCUAUCAUCUAUGCUUUGGUUCACCAGUUGCAUCCUCAGAUUAUUCAGGACAUGCAAGACAUUGUGAACAUGGAGAAUAUCAAGAAGAACCAAGUGGUGCCGAAAAUACCUGAAGAUUUACUUUUUCAGCAAAGAAUGACUUUGUAGGCCUAAAGGUUUAGAAGUUAUACCUAAAUUUCUCAGGACUAUGGCUUACUCCUAUUAGGUAGCCUGGAAAACAUUGCAUCCUGGAUGCAGAGAAAGACUGUAGUUUAGAUUACUUGUCAGUUAGUUUUAGUGGUAGUUUUCACUGUUGAAGGAUAUAUACACAGAUUUAUAAUUUAUUAUAUCCGCACUUUCGGAGAAAGUUCAAAUAUAUUGUUUUCAUCAAGUUUGUCCGUCCGUCCAACUUGGCUCUUUCUUUGGAGCAGUACAGUUGUAAGAUAAAUCCUGUUUGUAAUUUUAUAAAUUAGUUGCUCAUUAAGGGCUUACAAAGAUUAUGAUGCCUUGCUGGCAUAUCUGCAUACCAGUAAAUAUGUGCAGAUUCAUUUCUUGCUUUGAAGCAAUAUUGUUGCUACACUCCUAAAGCGGUGGCAAUGUUUAGGUCUUUUCUGCCUCGCGGGCAAAUCUGCAUACCAGUAAUUAUGUGCAGACUUGGCUCUUCCUGAGAUUGUAGGACUGGGUCCAUUGAAUGUAAACAAAAAUAAUCGAUGCCUAUUUACAAAUGAAAUGAAGAGUCUGCAUUUUGGUGCAACUCCAUAUAACUGUCAGGUGAUUUCGCUCUGAACUUGUGACACUCUGAUCGGUCUGAAAUAAUCAUCAUCCCGCCCCUCUGGGAAAAAUUUGCAGCCAGAUUGCACCAUUUCCUGUUACUGUCUGAGAGAUGGCAAUGUCAGGGGUGCAUGACGGUGGUAUAAACCUAUUGCGAAUGGGCAGCACAAUUGGGUGUAGGAUAUUCAGAAACCAUUGCACACUCCUGAAUAUGCGGUGGGUUGGUACCCCACGCUACGUAAGGAGUAGGUUGACGGGUAAGACUUUGUCCACGUGAAUGGGUCGUGCC